Molecule: transfer-messenger RNA, 348 nt
Filed under: Gammaproteobacteria (g-proteobacteria)
Lineage: Bacteria; Pseudomonadati; Pseudomonadota
Also listed under: 1 other name
Description: UBA11654 sp002691305 Standard tmRNA
Rfam family: transfer-messenger RNA
About the family: Bacterial tmRNA, also known as 10Sa RNA or SsrA, is named for its dual tRNA and mRNA-like properties. Its role is to liberate the mRNA from a stalled ribosome.
Source: RNAcentral
GGGGGCGCAAAGGUUUCGACGUUGAUGUUGAAGUUUUAUGUGCAUGUCGAGAUUCAGAGUUCUCGUAAAUAAAUCUGAAAAAACUUUAGUUGCAAACGACAACUACGCACUAGCUGCAUAAACCAGCUGGCAUUGAUAAAAUCUCACUUGGAGGGCUUUAUCAAUGACGAUCAUCCAAGUUCGUCAAGACUGUUUGCUCUAAUAGCCUUGAUUAAAUAAAAAUAAGAGCUCGUGUUUAUGGAUACCUUCCUUUCGGUGCCUAAAUAUAAAAUUAAAGAAAGUGAUAAGCAUGUAGAUCAUAAUAUGGAUAGUUAGCGGACGCGGGUUCGAUUCCCGCCGCCUCCACAA